Molecule: unclassified non-coding RNA, 634 nt
Filed under: Magnolia foveolata
Lineage: Eukaryota; Viridiplantae; Streptophyta; Magnoliopsida; Magnoliales; Magnoliaceae
Description: partial contains small subunit ribosomal RNA, internal transcribed spacer 1, 5.8S ribosomal RNA, internal transcribed spacer 2, and large subunit ribosomal RNA
Rfam family: 5.8S ribosomal RNA (bases 241-396)
Source: RNAcentral
UUAUCAUUUAGAGGAAGGAGAAGUCUUAACAAAGUUUCCAUAGGUGAACCUGCGAAUGGAUCAUUGUCGAGGCCCAUAGAGCAGCGAGACCCGCAAACCGGUGGCUCGGGGAGUGAAGUGCCACCCGCUCUCCCAGGGGACCACGUGGCGAACCACCCCCGUCACAAUGGGCACCAAAGAAUUGUGAUGGAAUGAGCGCGGCUCCCUCCAGGGAUGCCGGUGCACUUUUAGAACUUACACGACUCUCGACAAUGGAUAUCUCGGCUCUCGCAUUGAUAAAGAACGUAGCAAAAUGCGAUACUUAGUAUGAAUUACAGAAUCUCGUGAACCAUCCACUCUUUAAACGCAAGUUGUGUCCAAGGCCACCAGGCCAAGGGCAUGCCUGCUUGGGUGUCAUACACUGUGUUGCCCCACCCGGCACUCACCCCAUCCGGUAGCGGCGUCGAGGGGCUGAAAAGCAUUCACUCCCCCGCCAGGGCGCAGACGCAACAAUAGGUGGUUUGACAGGCGGUUGCCUCGUCGGAGCCCGGAUGCCGCGCUUGGGGGCAGAACAAAGUGGCACCUAACUCAGUUGCCCUCGUGUAGCGACCCCAGGUCAGGCGGGGACACCCACUGAGUUUAAGCAUAUCAAUAA